GUUGCUUCAAAAUGUUUCUCAGUCUCUUGAAUUUGUUUCAAGAAGUGCAUUUGCCGAUCACCAAGAUUCCUGACUUUCUCUCCUUCCGGGGCACACAGGUAAGGUGUACUUCCCAACCCCCUUUGCAUCAUCAAGGGUUCAUCUGACUAAGUUCUGGCCAAUGGAAUGUGACUGGAAGUGAUGUGAUAGACACCUCUUCCAGGCUCGGCCCAUGAAAAUCUCCCACUGUGGUUCUCCAUGCACCUUCUCUGUCUGCUGGACGAUAACACUCAGGCAACCUUGAAGGCUGCAAGCUGAAAACUGUGGGGACUCUGUCAGCCUAGAUGCUUGAGUAACUGUACAGGGCAGAGGCACCCCACCCCCAUCCUCUCCAUCCCAAUGCCAGUGGCCUUAGCUUGAGAGAGAAACAAACUUUCACUCUGCUAAGCCUCCAAAGUGUUGGAUUUGGUUUGUAACUGCAGUUAGCUUGCUUUAACCAAUACAGGAUGUAAGGAUAUAGGCAAGUCUGUACCAUGAGACUGUGCACUGGCCUACUAUUUCUGGAGCCAAAGUCCUGUAAUUCUCCUGCCAAGGCUGCCUUCAACACAAUCCGCCACUGAGAAAAUUCUCCAGAAAAGACUCCUCUGCUCCAGAGGUGCAGUACUUAGGCUGUCAGGAGUAUUCUAGUCUUGCAAGGGUAAUUCAAAAGCCCCCAUUCCUCUUAGCUUAUGGGACAUAGUCCUAGAAGCACACAGAAUAUAAAACACUCAGAAAUUCUAACCCCAAAAUUGAGAGAGAACAAAAUUAGAUACAAGGAAACCAGAAGCAUAGCCACAAUGGAGAGGACAUGCAGUGGAGACAGGAUCGGAACACAGUACCACCUCUAAGCCUUAAUUGUACAUGCUAUUAACUGGUGGGUGCUGUCAUUAAAUUUUCAAGAAAAUCCUCCUAAAAUAAAAAAAUAUUUUACUGUGUGGAAGUCAGAUAGCAGAUUUCACAGUGUCCAAAGUCAUAGUCCUUAUCACUUAUGAAGAGACAUGUUUGCCUUCCCUUUCAAGAUGACAACUGAGCCCCUCCAAAAUGUCUCCUCCCUCCCAUGGAAGUCAGCCUCUCACACGCCAGCGCCCUACCCUCUGAGCGAUCACUCUCAACUGGGGAGCUGUUUUGGUAUUGCCCACUCCAAAUGCAAUCUCCGUGGAUAUAGAAACCAUUUAAGAAUUUGCAAACUGACCUCAUUUUUAAUUUCAGUUUUUUAAAAUAUUCCUCUGUUAAGAAGAGGCAACAGGCCCAAAAUGGAGUCAUUUAUGCCAAGUCCCAUGUCACCAUACUGAGACUUAAAACCCAGCUUAAUUACAGUUCCAGUCUCUUCCAGGAAUGGAACCUUAAGCAGUCAGUCCCGGACUGCCUGGUCCUCACUAGUGAGGUGCUCCGCGUGGUGGAGACUUGCCCUCAGGGAAGGUGACCUUGCCGCAACCAGUUUGCUUUUUGCCAGUCUAACUUCCUUCUCCUUCUCCCUGCUGCCUGUCCUCUACUUUGUACAGCUCCUCAGAGCUCCUUUCUAUCCACUAGAUGGGAUGCUGCCUGACUCAUGAAUCACUGAAUAAGGCCAAUAAGAUCUUUAAAUAUACUCCAUUGAAUUUUGUUUUUUAACACCUUCAAGCAUUAAAAACCCUUCAGCCAUUAUAGAUGCCUCUGUCUGCUUCCUAGUCCAUUACAUAAAAUAGCUACCAUCCAAGCAGCAGUUAUUCUGUUCCAGGCAGGGUGCAUGGUCUUGGCAUACAUUAUCUUAUUUAAUCUUCAUGAGAUAGUUACUAUUGUCCCAUUGUGCAGAUGGAAAAACUGAGGCACCAAAGGUUAAGCAACUUGAACAAGUUCAUACAGCUAGUAAGGAGCAAAACCAGCAUUCAACUGAGCACUCUGAAUGCCCAAACCUCCACUCUUGACCACCGUACUAUACUGCCUCUACUUCCACUCGGCAAAUUUUUGUUCAUGGAAGACACCUCUUGGGAGAGUAGCUAGUGCUUCAGAAGGAUCAAUAAAUUCCUGUCGGUCAGAGCUUCAUAGCUUUACCUGUUUUCAUUCUGGCACUUUUGGAAUUUGGAAACCUCUCACCGUGGUCCUAGUGUCCAUCCACAGAGGUACCUCCCUUCUGUAAAUCUUGGCAGCUGUCUGGCAUGGUGAAAUCUCGGGGCUGUUGCCACAAUCUUCUAGAAAAUAGGAGCUUCUCAGCUCCAGAACAUUCUUAACGCUCGGGAGAAGAGCUGUGCUGCGGGCCAGUCUGUCGGAGUGUCUAUAUUUAGCACCAUCUGCCAGGAAUAUUCCAAACUGCCUAUUUCAGCACAUGCCAUUUUGUGCAAACGGGACUGCUCCACCACUAGCUCGUGGGAGACCAAGGGCACAAAGUGGAUUUUCCGGUUUUGAUGUCAUUAAAUGUUGCAAGUUGGCCCUUCGGCCAACCUGCAGAUGAGAUAUGGGAGAGGAUCGAGGCUGGCUUUUCCCAGGGCGUCUGUCCCUGAGUCCCACACUUCUAGUGGCUCAAUAGCAAUCCAGGGUGUUCUGGUGGAGAAAAGGGACAUCCCGAGCCUGCACUCCCACACAACAUUUCUGAGGCACUGGGGUGGCCCUGCCCGUUUCACGGCUCCCUUCUUCCACCCCACAAAUCCCUGUACAGACUCCUGCAGCCUUAACCACCCCCACCACACCCCAUAUAGCCUUGACCUGUCUCAGUGAAAGACCAGGGCCCCCAUGUACUGAGGGCUUUCCCUGUACCCAUUUUCAGUUCUGCCUUCUACAUGCACCAGUUCAUUGAAUCCUCCGAAGGAGGCACUAUUCUUAGUUCCACUUUACAACUAAGGAAACAUGCUUACAGAGGCCCAGGGACUUGCCGCGUCAAAAUUCAAGCCAAAUCUCAUGAUCUUACCCACUGACAGCAUACUGACCCAUUCUAUACACACCCAGCCAAUCUCCCUGUUUUCUUCCCCUCACUCCGGACUCUGUGUUUUUUGCAUGUUCAGGCACACCAGGAGAUGUUGCUGAUUUGGUUCCACACUACCACAGUAAAGCAAAUACUGCAAUAAAGUGAGUCAAAUGAAUUUUUUGGUUUCCCAGUGCAUAAAAAAAGGUAUACACUAUACUGUAGUUUAUUGAACGUACAAUAGCAUUAGCAUCUAUAAAAUAAUGUACGCACCUUAAUUGAAAAAUACUUUAUUGCUAAAAAAUGCUAACCCUGCUCUGUGCUUUCAGUGAGUCGUAAUCACUGGUCACAGAUCACCAUGACAAAUAUACUAAUAAUGAAAAGCUUGAAAUACUGUGAGAAUGACCAAAAUGUGACACAGAGACACAAAAUAAGCAGAUAGUGUUGGAAAAGUGGCACCAAUAGACUGGCUCGAUGCAGGGUUGCCACAGACUUUCAAUUUGUGAAAAAUGUAAUAUCUGCAAAGCACAAAAAAAACAAGGUGCACCUGUGUUUCCAUCUCCAGCUUAUUUUCCAGACUCAGUGCUUAACUGCAUCUGAGGGGUUCUUGACCAUGGGUUCAUCAUCCACCCCACUGGGACUAUGUUGACUCCCCUAAAUCCUCCUCCCAGACUGGGCCCAGCAACAGCCCAGAGAGGGAGUGGGGCCCCUGGGUUUUUCUCUGCCCGAGUAAGAACUGGUUGGUGGAAGCAAUUGAGCAGCCUCAUGAAAGUUUGCCCCAAAUACAGUGGUGAGUUUGACUAGGGCUGUACAGAAUAUGGCUUUAUAGGUGACAAGGGCUGCUGGGAAAGGAACUGCCACCAGGGACUGGCAUGGAUCUGGAGCUGAGAGACUGAGAAGCUGAGAAGGAGAAGUUGAUUAAUCCAGCUAUUCUGGGUGACACUAAUCUUUGGAGUGGCUGAAUCUAGGCAAAUUCUGAAUUGUGGUAACAGUAAAACCUCAACAUCUACAUGUACAAUUUCUAAGCACAAUUCCUGGGGAUGAUCAAUUUUCAUUAACUCACCUUAGGACGGUGGUUAAAAGAGAUGGCUACAUGCUUGCUGUGGUUUAGUAGAUUGGUAACUGGGUGCUUGGGGAGCAGAGGGACUGACAGAUGUGAGCGGCACAGAAUAAAGGUUAGAAAUCAGAUCUGUUACUAGAUAACUCCAUAACCCAUCUACUUCAAUGAUUUAUUCCUACACAACAAGCCAUCCUUAAACGUAGUGGCUUAAAACAAGAAUAAUCACUUUUUUACUCUCUCCCAUGGAUUUGGGAGGCUGACCAACCAGAUGGUUCAGACAAUAGUUGGGGCUGGAGUCGCCUCAAAGGCUUCCUUGCAUAUCCAGAAGUUGGUGCCGACUGUCAGCCGGGACCUUACUGUCUGCCAAGACAUCUACACGUGGACUUUCCAGGUGACUUGAGCUCCCCCACAGGAAGCUUGGACUCUUGGCUCUCCACUGCCAUGCCAGCCUGCUGGCACUCAAACCCCGACUGCCCUACCUUGCCCAAUUUCUUCCAAAUCCUAGCUCUUCCUCUAGUCCAGUAUAACUGGUAUGGGAGAUGGUACUUCAAAGAUGGUCACCACUAGACAUAUCUCAUCUCACAAGCCCCUCAUACUAACCACUCCUCCCUCUGAGGAGUGUGUCAAUGUUGUCUCCUCUUGAAUCUAGGCUGGUCUGUGAUACGGUGGGACUAUGCUGUGACACUCUGUGACCUCUAGGGCUAGGUCACAAAAGGUCAUACAGUGUUUCCCUCAUUUUCUUGGGUCAGAAAUAUAGUCUUCCUCUUUUUUAAAUGUAAAUGACCAUGUUUCCAUUUGGGACAGAACUGACUGAAUACAAAUCUCAGAAAAUGUUUCUUGACAUGAAUGUAGAAGCAUUUGGCCACCCUCAGGGUACCUUCCCACCGCUUAGCACAGCCAGUCUGGUCUUUGUCAGGACAUCUUUCUUUUCAGAGAGUAACUAUGACAACAGAGCAUGAAGCUAUGGGUCUGCAGCAGCCCUGUAUUUACAUACAACAUGUGAUGCUAUAAGAACACAGAAUUAUGAAUCAGGGUAGCAUUGGCCUCUCCUUUGGUAGUGAGCAAGUUAUCUGCUAUUUGAUUCAAUUGAUUUUAUUAAUUGGUUUUGGUUUUAUUAUGACUCUCUCUUAACAAGAUGAUUAAUGUUCUGUAAUCUAUAGCAUCAUUUUCCAAACUUACUUAAACAAAAUCCCUGUAUUAGUUUCCUAUUGCUGCUAUAACAAAUUACCCCCAAACUUAAGGGUUUGAACAGCCCAAAUAUAUUAUUUUACAGUCUUUAGAUGAGAAGUCUGGUGUAGGUCUCACCAGGCUAAAACUGAGCUGUCAGCAGGGCUGUGUUCCUUCCUUGAGUUUCAAGGGGAGGAGCCACUUCCUUGGUCAUUCUGGUUUUUGGCAGAAUCGAGUUCCUUGUGUUACAGGACUAAGGUCCCCACUGCAUGCCGGCUGAGAGACAUUCCCAGCUUCCAGAGGCUGCCCGCCUUCCUCGGCUCAGGGCCGCUUGCUCUAUCUGCAGAGCCAGUCUGGGUGGGUCAAAUCCCUUUCAUGCUCUGACUCUCUCCUUCUUCCUCUGUCUCAUCGCUCUCUAGCCACAACUUGGGCAGAUUUUCAACUAUUAAGGGCUCAUGUGAUUAUCCAAGAUAAUCUCUCAUCUCAAGGUCCAUGCGCUCAGUCAAAUGGGAAGAGUGCCCACUUAUUAUGUAAGACAACACAGUCCAGAGCUUAGGAUGCGGACAUCUUUGGGAGAGACAUUAUUCUGCCUCCCACAACCUUCAUCCCCAGCCCCCACUAAACUAGAGUUUAAUGGAAUGGAGUUUAGGCAGCACUGCUCUAACGGUAUCAAAAGGGCUGAAUUUUAAACAGGAAAGAAACUCACUCUUCAGGAGCAAUGACAACACCCAAAGCAAUGGGUGAGCACAAGACGAGGGACAGGUUGGACCCACCCCGUGGCUGGGGUGGGGGUGCAGAGGAAUAAGAGUUCAGUGAUGGACCAUCUUGUCUAGCCAGAGUAUGAAUCGGGUAGAUUUCCUAUUGGACUGGUUUGUCAAGAACUUGUAUUUUGAAUGCCUGAGGGAGAAGGGACAGUCAUCACACCAGGUGCUUUCCAUAAUCCAUAAUGGUGACCUGUGAAGGUGGACCCGGUAUUUGAACCUGUGUGAGGUGGAUUUAUUUGGGGUCCCCUCAUGUCCCCUUAAUUGGGCUGGUGUACCCGUGCCACAGAGGCAGAAAACCAGCAUCUCGAUUCCCUUUCUCUAGAAAUUACCUUUACAGAUAAUGUAAGCUCAGCUUCACAUUAUGCCCCUGGCCACUCUGUCCCCCAACACACACACACACACACACACACACACUCUCCCAUCCCACAGGCUUCAGAGGUCCUCUAUGGAUCCAAUCUGGACUUUUUCUAAGAUCACGUAUUUGCUCUACUCUUCCCUUCACUUUUCUGUUUCCCUUUCUCCUGUACAAGUUUUCCUGAUUAGUAAAUUAUGUGUAUCCAAAACCCUGCCUCAGGCUCUGCUUCCAAAGAACCCAACCUAAGACGUGAGAAAGUGAAUUCAUUGAUCAGGAUGUACAAAAUGGAGGCCUCCCCAGUGGUCUGGCCCAUGCCCCUAAUCUAAGCCUGCGUGAGCCUGCGCUAUGGAAGCACCUCACUGUCAAGGACACCUGACACCAACUUUCCCCAACUUUCUCUAAUUCAGCAUUCAGCUUGCCUUACCCUAGAAAACAGGACCUGCCUGCCUUACCAGAAAUCCCCUGCUGUCUGGGCAAUCAUGACCUGCUUCCAGACUGUCUCUUCUAUCACUCUAUAAAACUCCCUCUUGCCCAAAUCCCUUGGACAGAGAGCUCCACCGCUUCUGACACACUGUCACAAGCCUGUAACCCCCAACUGCAGCUCCCUAUUUCCAAAGUCCUUGCUUUUUGCAGAUUCCUGGCCUAGAGUCACACAGUACCAAGAAAAUACCUGGAGGAAAUGUCCCUGAGGCACACGGUACCUGCCUCCUUCUAGUGUCAGCUCCUUGGGGACAGGGACGGUGUCCAUCGUGAUCACACACAGUGGCUGACCCACAACGGAUCUGCAACUUGGUGAGAAGGUGAAUGAAACAGAGAAGCAACAGGAGGUGAGAGCUCUGUGGGUAAGUGGAAGAAAGUUGGGGAAAGAUGGUCUGUGCCAGGUAAGACAUGUUCCUUUGCAAGCUGCUUUGUUGCUCUUCAAGCUCAUCUAUGAUGACCGUACUUUUCCUGGAACCUACUCACAGUGCCCAGGGAUCUGUGGACUCAGGCUCUCAUUUGGAAAAGUGACAUUCCAGAGUACCCUUCCUCCUACAUGCAGGAUGGAGAUCCAGCAGCCCGCGCCUAAACCUGGAACGUGCUCUGCUUCGAAAAGACCUACUGGACCUCAAGCCAGUGAAGGACCCAGCCUGUUAUGUUGGCAGUGGGCACCGAGCAGCAGGCAGCUGGACUUGCCCCAUAUUCUUUCCCCACCCACUUGCCUGGCAGGGGGACGGGGCCUUGCUGUCCUUCUGAAGGAGUUCCCAGAUGUCUGAUAACUUGCAAGGUGUUUUACCUGGACACCUUUCUGAAGCUUUCCAUGCAUCACUGAGAUGGAGCAGAGGGAGGAAGUCAGUGAUGUUUACGCACACCCCAGCCAUGACAGACGCUGGAUGAGGUGCCCAGUGGGCAUCAGCUGGAAAUCUCCCAGCCACCUGGCAAGCUCAGUACCAUCCUCGCUUUGCAGACCAGGGAACCCAGAUCUGCCUGAGACAGUUCGGAUGAUGAAGAGCAAGAACAAUGUCUCCAUUCCAGGUCCCUGGCCCCAGCAUCCAAGUCCUGUUCACUCAAACACACUGGAGGGGCCUUAGCUUCUCCCCCAGUACCCUACUCUGCAGAAGAGAGCUGGUUCUCCCCUUUCCACUCCUGCAACCAGAGAUUCAUGAAUAAAUUAAUAAAUUCUUGAUUUUAAAGAGUUUUGAUCCACCAUUCUUCUCAGAUAUGCUUCAGUUCAAAACAGUGUUGAUUUAUACCA
Molecule: non-coding RNA, 7971 nt
Organism: Manis javanica (Malayan pangolin)
Lineage: Eukaryota; Metazoa; Chordata; Mammalia; Pholidota; Manidae
Source: RefSeq, a predicted model, not a curated record